AGACAAGGUCUAACUGUGCAUCCCAGGCUGGCCUUGAACUCUAAAUCCUCCUCACCCCCUGAGUGCUAGGAGUACAGGCCCAUGCCACCAUACCUGGUUCAGUCUUACUUUUUUCCUCCCAUUAAAAAAUAGCAGCAUAGCAAGUUGACAUGGAAUUUUAAUGUUGUUGAUUUUGUGUCUAUAAUAUCGUAACUAUCAGGAAGAGAGGAGGCUGCAGAUGUGGCUGGGUAGUGGAGAGCCAGCUUAGCAAGUAGGAUGCCCUCAGUUCAGCACCACUAAAAAAAAUGAGAGACAAGUAAAGCACUCCUAAUACUUUCUGAGAGAAACAGUGUUAACACGUCAUUCUCUCUCCCUUCCUCCUUUUCUCCCCUCAUUUGGAAUUUAGAUUUACAGGUCAGUUACAAAUACAAUGCAGAAAGUUCUCACCCCCAUCAUUUUACUCGGAUGUGUGUGAUGGUUCACACCAUCGUCCAUCUCCUUGGGAAGUGAGGCGAGAGGAUCACCUGAGCCCACAGGUUUGGUCCACACCAUCGUCCACCUCCUUGGAAAGUGAGGCGAGAGGAUCAUCUGAGCCCACAGACUUGAGACCAGCCUAGGCAACACAGGCAGCCCCGUGUCAAAACAAAGAAAGAAUAGAAAAUUUUAAAAUGUUUUCAGCUGGCUUGGUGCCAAGGGAGGAGGAUGGUGAGGUUCGGGCCGUCCUGGACUACAUAGUGAGAGCCUAUCUCAAAUAAAUACAUCAACAUAAAGUGAAGUAAAUUACAAAAGCAUGAUACUCUUGUGAAAUCCAGUAAAUUCAAAUCGAUUGCUGUACUACUAUUAACUAAUUCCAGAUGUUAUUUGGACCUCACUGACAUCAUUUGUUCACGCUACAGCAUUACAUAGUGUUACAUAGGAUUGCAUUUGCUUUUGAAAUAAUAGUUAGGAUUAGAAAUUAAUUUGGAUCUCUUGGGAUUUAAGCAGCUUUGUUUUAACUUCAUCUUCUUCAUAUUAUGAAUAACUGUGAUUGGCCUCAGUGAGUAAGGCCCAAACUCUUGGAGGUAACAGUCCUUUACUUGCUUUUGUUCUUCCCUGUGACUCUCCUACCUGUGUCUAGCAGCUGUAAUCACCUCCUCACUUCCUCUGGGAGCCCUCAGCAUCAAUGACAGAAUCAUCCCUCAGCCCCUGUUCUUCAGCUCUCCACGGAGAAACUGAGCAGAGAUGGUGCUUUCCUCCUGGAUGCAGGCUCUGCACUGAUGCUUUGCGCUGGGAAAAACUGUGCAGAGUUUUCUCCACCAAGUGCUAGGAAUUCCAAACUAUGCAUCAAUUCCACAGACUAUGACAGAAUUUGAUACACCAGAGUCUGCCAGAACAAUAGCUUUUGUCUCAUGGCAUAGAGAGCAGAGACCAUUUUUCUUAGUACUUUAUGUAAUAAGGAUAUACAACAGCUAUUAUGUAGGAGACCACCAAAUGUGAUGUCAAGAUUUAAGACUUAUUUCUUCUAAUCAAGGAUAUACAACAGCUAUUAUGUAGGAGACCACCAAAUGUGAUGUCAAGAUUUUGUUAACUAUUACUAAUAUAACCCUUACAUAGAAAUUUUAAUUUUAUAAAGUAGUGUAUAAUUCUAUAACAUUAAAUUCUUGUUCUCAAAUUAAAAUAUCUAUUGAUCUUCAAUAUGCUGUGUAAAAUCUUGCUUCUCUGGAAUUUUACCAACAAGGUUUUUCUUCCUUUUUACAAUUUAUAAUUUGCACUGUUUUAUUCUGUUUAAAAAAAAAGACUCAUUUGUAACCCAUGCAAACAAUCAUUUGAUCCGUACUAACUCAUGAAUUUGGCUUUCCAGUAAAGUUAAUUAAAAGCUUACACACAGCGACUGGCAAUCUUUCUUUUUUCUUGUGCUUGGAUAUGGGCUUUUUUCUAAGGUUUUAAGGUCUGCUGGGCAGACCUUUGGAGUUUCUGAUUAAGGUUUUUGGUGAGAUCUGAGAAUUUGCAUUUCUAGCAAGUUCCCAGGUUAGGCUGCUGGUCCAGGGACCUGACUGAGAAUUAUUGCCUCAAGGUAUUGUCUGCACAGCCUCCACCUCCCCCAGUGGGUUAGGUUAUUCCACCCUUGGGAGACAAGAUUCAAAACAAAUUUAUCCUGGACCCUCCCUCUUCUGGGAGGUGGGUGCUCUAGCUGGCAUCCAUUUCCGAGGCCCUGGGGACAGGUCUAGCGGUCAGGCUGGCAAGGCUGUCUUGUCAAAUGUUUCGGCUGGGCUUGAAAACCUAGGAUCUCUUGACAUAGCUGGCAGGACCAAGUUUUUCUGGGUAACCAACUGCCCAGCACAUGCUGAGCCUUGUUGAGUUUUUCCUUUUGGACUAUAAUGAAAGCCUCUGAGGCUAGUGGGGAGCUGGUCCAGGCCAGAUGUAAAGCAAGACCCCCAUCUCAAGAAUAACCAAUAUGAAAAGGACAGGCUGAGUGACUGAAGUAGGAGAGGAAAUUCCCUCCUCUUCCUCUUCUGCUUGGCUGGUGUUUAGAUGCAGUGGCAGGAGCUAGAGCAUCAUCUUGUACCACAAGCUGUGCAUGGAGGAUGACAGCAAUUAGAAAGGACACUUGGCCCCUCAUGUGGGAAAAGGUUAUUACUACAGCUAGAACUUUUGUGGGAGAGAGAAAAUUACAGACGAACCAAAUAGUUCUAUGUCCCCUGUAUCAGUUAUCUAUUGCUGUCUAACAAGUCACCCCCAAAAAACUAUCUGAAAACAGCACCUAUUUGUGCUUGUGAUUCUGUGGUUGGCAGCACAGGCAGGCACACCUGGACAGCUCUGCUGGUCUCACCUGAGUCCUCGGGCAGCGACAGCCAUCUGAUGGCACGGCCUUCCUCACAUGUCUGGCCGUGGAGCUGGCUGUCAGCUGAGUCACAUCUGUGUCAGGUCACCUCAGCCUUCUCCUGUGACACAAGGUUUCCCAGUAAGCAGCAAAACAGCAAGCCUAGUGCACAAGUGCUUUUCAAACCUCUGCUUUGUCACCUUUGUAAUGUUUCAUUGGCCAAGUCACAACAGAUCUUGACCAAAACAUCUUAUUGGAUCAAUGUGGGAGGGGUGAUGAAUAGGUAAGGACACAGGGAUAGGGAUUCAUGGAGGAGGGGCGCUACUACUGGAACAGCCAAGUGUGCUGUGACUAUAAAAACCAACCCUGGCUAAGUAAAAUUCAAUGUAAUCUGUCAACCUAACAAUGAAGAAGAAACCUCAAGCAUCUCAGUAGAUGCCAACACAAAAAGUUUUUGAUAAAUUUUUUGCUGUUGGCACUGGGAUUGAACUCAGCACUUUGCACUUGCAAAGCUGGCGCUCUACAACUCGAGCUAUAUCUCACCUCCAGUCCACUUUGCUCUGAUUAUUUUGGGGAUGGGAGCUCCCAAACUAUUUGCACAGG
Molecule: non-coding RNA, 3382 nt
Organism: Castor canadensis (American beaver)
Lineage: Eukaryota; Metazoa; Chordata; Mammalia; Rodentia; Castoridae
Source: RefSeq, a predicted model, not a curated record